Molecule: long non-coding RNA, 1247 nt
Organism: Oreochromis aureus
Lineage: Eukaryota; Metazoa; Chordata; Actinopteri; Cichliformes; Cichlidae
Source: Ensembl
UAGAGUGACUAAUUUCACAUCAUUUUAUUUUUAUUCUUCUUCUUCUGUGUUGAGAUUUCAAGAAAAGCAGUAAUGACUAAUCAUUCAGACAUUUUAAACAAGUAAGGAAAGAGUCACAUUACAAGUUCAGACAGCAGCAGUCACUCAUUCAAUCUUUUAUUUCCAUAUUAAUGUUUUUAAAUCAGGCUGCAUUACUGACUGUCAUCUUCAGAUUUAAUUUGUUAGUAUACUUGUAGAUGUUCACCUGACAGAGAGACUGCUCUCUUCUAUAAAACUAAAUUACCUCUUGGAGUUGUUUUCAACAAUAAUAUAAAUAAUUACUUAUUAAUAAAUAAGCUGUCAGUGAAAUCACCACACAGAGUCCUGAAGCAAUAAGGAAAUAGAAAGUUGGAUCUCGAAGAACAUUUGAAUGAUUCAGAAAACUUCACUGCUCCACUGACACAUUUUGGCUUGUGGCCUUCAUCAGGAUCAUCAUCACCAUUGUUAGAUCUAAUGCUCGUCUCCGUGGAAGGAUCUACGAUGUGGUGCCAGAAACUUCUGAUCCGUUUCUGCAAAACACAAAACAGAGCCAACAUGAGAGCAGAAACUUUGCUUCCACAUUUCAAAUUCAAAGCCUGAAUUAUUCAGGAGCUGAGGAGCAGGUUUCCUUCUGUCUAAAAAGUUAGUCAUGUUAUUUAUCAUAAGUCACUUUGUUUUACAGCAGAUAAUUGACAGCUCUUAAAGAGCAAAACUCAAAUAAAAUCUCACAUGAGAUGUCGACUGAUAAGGUGGAGCUGGUGCUUGUUAACCCUAAACCUUAAAAAAGUAAACUUUAUAAAUGUAUAAAAGCGACCUCAUUCACGUAGAUUACUAAUUGGCAGAACUAAAUCGAAAUUUAGAGUUAUUAACUCAAAAUUUUGAGAAAAGUAACUCGAAAUGUUGAGUUAUGGAUACUUUUUUUUGUAUUUAGUGGCAGAAAAAGGGCUUCCAUAAGAAGGAGAUCAUUUAGUGCUUUUGGACUUUCUGUAAUUCUGGGUUUGUGGGUGGAGACAAAAAACUCACACACUCACAAAUCAUCAUGGCCAAAUCACCUUGCACUGAGUUAGUAGAGUAAUAAGCUUUUUUGUUCAUGGAUAUAGUUUUCUUUCAACAAAAAUGUCCAAAAUGAUGCUCCUUUGGUCUCUGGUGUGCUUCUGGGCAGGGAUUUCUGCAAAAGGCCAGAAAAACAUCAAAGCUGAGUCUGGACAGAACGUCACUCUGCCAUGCCG